Molecule: long non-coding RNA, 660 nt
Organism: Artibeus jamaicensis (Jamaican fruit-eating bat)
Lineage: Eukaryota; Metazoa; Chordata; Mammalia; Chiroptera; Phyllostomidae
Exons: 3
Source: RefSeq, a predicted model, not a curated record
AGCCGUCCCACCGGGUGAAGCCAAGCGCUGAAGGUCGCAGGGGAGGCAGGACAGAGGGCCGAGGCCCCGCCCGACGUGUUGUAUCGGCCAGUUACAGGCGUCCAGAGCUUUAAACUGGAGGCGGGAAUUCACAGAUUAAGGGCAAACACCAACUUCAGACCUUAAAGUAAGGGACCAUUUAAAUUAAUAUACGGAUAACCAGUGUCAACGCAAUAAAGCAGGGUGGACUGAGAGCAGUGUCGAUCUAUAUACAAUAUUACCUUUGCUAUAAACCCAUUUAUUUCUCCCCCAAACUUAUGAGGGAGGUUCAGCCCUGAUCCUCAUUCUGCACAAGAAGAAACUGAGAUAGAAAGAGACCCAUCUCAAAUCCUUUGUGAAAUGAAGGGGAAUAUAAUCAAGCAAGACAAUCGUCAAUCAAACAGAAGCCACCUGCACUUCAGCAAGAAAGAUGGUGGUGGUUACUUUUCUUUCCUGGAGCUUCUGGAGCUCAGCACCUCUGAUUGGCUCUGAUGGGCAGACUCUGAGCCCUUUCCUUCCUGCAGGCGCUGCUUUUCGAGACAUUAACCCCAAUUUGAGAUCCUUGAUUAAGACUACACAGAGUCCUUUUUCUGGAAGAAACUCACUUCUGACUUCAUUUCCUUGUUGUUUCUGCAUUUUUAU